GAUGAACGCUGGCGGCGUGCUUAAUACAUGCAAGUCGAGCGGACGGACGAGAAGCUUGCUACUCGAGUGUUAGCGGCGGACGGAUGAGUAACACGUGGAUAACCGAACUAUAGGACUAGGAUAACUUCGUGAAACCGGAGCUGGUACCGGAUACUCUUUUGAGCCGCAGGGUGCAAAAGUGUUAGACGGUCUUGCUGUCCCCGAUCGAUCAGUCCGCUCUGGAUGGGCUAGUUUGUCAGGUAACGGCUUACCAAGGGAACGAUGGAUAGCCGACGUGAGAGGGUGAUGGGCGACAGUGGAACUGGGCGACGGCCCUGACUCCGAGGGGAGGCAGAAGUAGCGAAUGGUGCGAGAUGGGCGAAAGACUGACGGAGCAGCGCCGCGUGAGUGAUGAAGGUCUUCGUAUCGUAUAACUCUGUUAGUAGGGAAGAACAUAUGUGUAAGUAACUGUGCACAUCUUGACGGUACCUAAUCAGAAAGCAACGGCUAACUACGUG
RNAcentral lists this ribosomal RNA (497 nucleotides) under uncultured bacterium. Its description in RNAcentral is "partial 16S ribosomal RNA". It matches the Rfam family "Bacterial small subunit ribosomal RNA", at positions 28 to 507 of the family's 1533-position model. The record is from RNAcentral.